GAUGAACGCUAGCUACAGGCUUAACACAUGCAAGUCGAGGGGCAGCGGUAUCGAAAGCUUGCUUUCGGUAGCCGGCGACCGGCGCACGGGUGAGUAACGCGUAUCGAACCUGCCUCAUACUCGGGAAUAGCCUUGCGAAAGUAAGAUUAAUGCCCGGUGUUUUCAGAGUCCCGCAUGAGGCUUUGAACAAAGAUUUAUCGGUAUGAGAUGGCGAUGCGUCCCAUUAGCUUGUUGGCGGGGUAACGGCCCACCAAGGCAUCGAUGGUAGGGGUUCUGAGAGGAAGGUCCCCCCCAUUGGAACUGAGACACGGUCCAAACUCCUACGGGAGGCAGCAGUGAGGAAUAUUGGUCAAUGGGCGGAAGCCUGAACCAGCCAAGUAGCGUGCAGGAAGACGGCCCUCCGGGUUGUAAACUGCUUUUAGUUGGGAAUAAAACGGGGCUCGUGAGCCCCCUUGCAUGUACCAUCAGAAAAAGGACCGGCUAAUUCCGUGCCAGCCGCCGCAGUAA
This 507-nucleotide ribosomal RNA is filed under the name uncultured bacterium. RNAcentral's name for it is "partial 16S ribosomal RNA". It matches the Rfam family "Bacterial small subunit ribosomal RNA", at positions 28 to 523 of the family's 1533-position model. The record is from RNAcentral.